This 243-nucleotide ribosomal RNA is filed under the name uncultured bacterium. RNAcentral's name for it is "partial 16S ribosomal RNA". It matches the Rfam family "Bacterial small subunit ribosomal RNA", at positions 95 to 334 of the family's 1533-position model. The record is from RNAcentral.
CCGGCGCACGGGUGAGUAACACGUAUGCAAUCCACCUGUAACAGGGGGAUAACCCGGAGAAAUCCGGACUAAUACCCCAUAAUAUGGGCGCUCCGCAUGGAGAGCCCAUUAAAGAAAGCAAUUUUGGUUACAGACGAGCAUGCGCUCCAUUAGCCAGUUGGCGGGGUAACGGCCCACCAAAGCGACGAUGGAUAGGGGUUCUGAGAGGAAGGUCCCCCACAUUGGAACUGAGACACGGUCCAA